This 344-nucleotide long non-coding RNA is filed under the name Phoenix dactylifera (date palm). RNAcentral describes it as "long non-coding RNA (PDAC_LNC001347)". Lineage: Eukaryota; Viridiplantae; Streptophyta; Magnoliopsida; Arecales; Arecaceae. The record is from RNAcentral.
AAACGGGAACAGGGAAAGGUGCUAAGAAAUUAGAAGAACUUGGGGAGGACAAAGGACGUUUGGGCGCUGGCUUUUUGAAACGGCGGUUUUGGGGGACGGGGGCAGAGGAGUGGAUCAGGGGCCGUAUGCUUCUCCGUACGCUGUCGCUGUCUCCAUACGGGGGGUAUAUAUCCGUAAUUCCGUAUGUGGGGUCGCACGGGGGGACCGAGCUUCGUCGUCAAAAAAAGAAAAAAAGCCGACACCCUUUUUUUAAGCCGGCGCCUCGACGCGCCGUUUCCCCGGCGUUUAUUGGUUUAAGCGUCGGAUCCACGCCGUCCGUUUGAUUGCCUUUUUUUUGUUUUUUG